GGAGGUGUAGCUCAGGGGUAGAGUGUGUAUUUAGCAUGCACGAGGUCCUGGGUUCAAUCCCCUGUACCUCCA
This 72-nucleotide transfer RNA is filed under the name Camelus ferus (Wild Bactrian camel). It matches the Rfam family "tRNA". Rfam says of the family: Transfer RNA (tRNA) molecules are approximately 80 nucleotides in length. Their secondary structure includes four short double-helical elements and three loops (D, anti-codon, and T loops). The record is from Rfam by way of RNAcentral. Lineage: Eukaryota; Metazoa; Chordata; Mammalia; Artiodactyla; Camelidae.